Molecule: small RNA, 125 nt
Filed under: Marmota monax (woodchuck)
Lineage: Eukaryota; Metazoa; Chordata; Mammalia; Rodentia; Sciuridae
Source: RNAcentral
GCUAGGCAUGGUGGCGCAUGCCUGUAAUCCCAGUGGCUUAGGAGGCCGAGACAGGAGGAUUAUGAGUUCAAAGCCAGACUCAGCAACUCAGCAAGGCCCUAAACAACACAGCAAGACCUUGUCAU